GACGAACGCUGGCGGCGUGCUUAACACAUGCGAGUCGAACGGAAAGGCCCUGCUUUUGUGGGGUGCUCGAGUGGCGAACGGGUGAGUAACACGUGAGUAACCUGCCCUUGACUUUGGGAUAACUUCAGGAAACUGGGGCUAAUACCGGAUAUGAGCACCUGCUGCAUGGUGGGGGUUGGAAAGUUUCGGAGGUUGGGGAUGGACUCGCGGCCUAUCAGCUUGUUGGUGGGGUAGUGGCUUACCAAGGCAUUGACGGGUAGCCGGACUGAGAGGGUGACAGGCCACAUUGGGACUGAGAUGCGGCCAAGACUCCUACGGGAGGCAGCAGUGGGGGAUAUUGCACGAUGGGCGGAAGCAUGAUGCAGCAACGCCGCGUGGGGGAUGACGGCCUUCGGGUUGUAACCCGCUUGCGCCUGUGACGAAGCGUGAGUGACGGUAAUGGGUAAAGAAGCACCGGCUAACUACGUG
This 468-nucleotide ribosomal RNA is filed under the name uncultured bacterium. RNAcentral's name for it is "partial 16S ribosomal RNA". It matches the Rfam family "Bacterial small subunit ribosomal RNA", at positions 28 to 507 of the family's 1533-position model. The record is from RNAcentral.